Molecule: ribosomal RNA, 43 nt
Filed under: Neoscytalidium dimidiatum
Lineage: Eukaryota; Fungi; Ascomycota; Dothideomycetes; Botryosphaeriales; Botryosphaeriaceae
Description: partial 28S ribosomal RNA
Source: RNAcentral
AAGGUUGACCUCGGAUCAGGUAGGGAUACCCGCUGAACUUAAG